UGUCAUUUAUUGGAGUGUCAUAUUGAGUCCUGGAAGUAACUAACUGUACAAGAAAGAAAAAUAUCAGGGAUAAGAGUAGACGGAUUAACGGUUUAUAGGCGCAUCAGAUCGAAACUGCUUUCGGGGGCUGGUCUUGAUUCCUCCUCCUGUUGAACUAUGAAUGAGACCAAGCCAAAUUUGUUGUUCAGUUUGGCGGACGGUUUCAUUAAUUUUUUUAAUAAAAAGAGAAGUUUAAUAAGUUAUUGUAAUCGUCAGAUUGUUUCAACCUGAAUCUAAUUAGAAUUUAAUUGUUUGAUUGAUUCAACCCAAAUUAAAUUA
Molecule: unclassified non-coding RNA, 318 nt
Filed under: Hevea brasiliensis (rubber tree)
Lineage: Eukaryota; Viridiplantae; Streptophyta; Magnoliopsida; Malpighiales; Euphorbiaceae
Source: RNAcentral